AGAAAAAGACUAUAGAACAAAAGCAACAAUUAAUUUUUUACCAGUAGAUAGUGCAAAUGCAUUAAUAAAUAAAUCAAAAUAUCAUCAUUUCUUUGAUGUAGUUUAUUUAUCAAACAGUUCAACAAAUUAUUUCACACCAGAAUUUCAAGAAAUCUUUGCAGAUAACAGUGCUAUUCUUAUUGAAACAAUCAACUACAAGAUGAAAAAAGUUGUAGAUAGCACAGUCUAAUUGAGGAAAGUAAGACUUAUUAUAGACUAAUAAUAAUAAUAGAGGAGGAGGAAGGGCUGUCUGCUUUUGCAAACUUAGCCCACUACGAAGAGAAAGGAGUGAAAAGGUUGAAGGAAGGGUUCUGAAGGGAGAAGUAUAAAGGAAAAGGGGAAAAGUAAUGCUGAAAAAAGUUAUUAGGACCUCAGAGUGCUGUAUUGGAAAUUAUUAAUAACCAAAAUUACGAAAGUUGACAAGACCAUUAUACAGUGUAACUGGACCAUUUCUUGUAAUUGUUACUUAUUAUAGACUGAAAAAAAUCCAGCAACAAGUUGCAUAACUUUUAUAACAGCCAAGAAAAUAAUGUUGAAUAGAAUUUUACAUUAACAUACAGUGGAGUGACAAAGUGUGUGUGUGUGUGUGUUUGUUUUGAGUGUUGCAUUGAUGUUCAAAUAAAGUGAAAAAGUUACUUAAUAAUAAAAAGCAUAUUUGCAAGCUGAAAAAAGUUAUGUACUGUUUAUUAAAAUAAAUAUUA
Molecule: long non-coding RNA, 740 nt
Organism: Centruroides sculpturatus (bark scorpion)
Lineage: Eukaryota; Metazoa; Arthropoda; Arachnida; Scorpiones; Buthidae
Exons: 3
Source: RefSeq, a predicted model, not a curated record